GAUGAAGAACGUAGCGAAAUGCGAUACGUAGUGUGAAUUGCAGAAUUCAGUGAAUCAUCGAAUCUUUGAACGCACAUUGCGCCCCUUGGUAUUCCGAGGGGCAUGCCUGUUCGAGCGUCAUUAUAACCCCUCAAGCUCGGCUUGGUGUUGGGGCCUGCCGCACGGGCAGCCCUUAAAAUCAGUGGCGGUGCCAUCUGGCUCUAAGCGUAGUAAUUCUUCUCGCUAUAGAGUCCCGGUGGAUGCUUGCCAUUAACCCCCAAUUUCAAUGGUUGACCUCGGAUCAGGUAGGGAUACCCGCUGAACUUAAGCAUAUCAAUAAGCGGAGGA
Molecule: unclassified non-coding RNA, 327 nt
Filed under: soil metagenome
Description: partial contains 5.8S ribosomal RNA, internal transcribed spacer 2, and large subunit ribosomal RNA
Rfam family: 5.8S ribosomal RNA (bases 1-120)
Source: RNAcentral